CAAGGAAUUUUCGGCAAUGGGCGCAAGCCUGACCGAGCAACGCCGCGUGCAGGACGACGGCCUUCGGGUUGUAAACUGCUUUUCGGGGGGAAGAUACGGACGGUACCCUCGGAAUAAGCCACGGCUAACUCUGUGCCAGCAGCCGCGGUAAGACAGAGGUGGCAAGCGUUGUCCGGAUUGACUGGGCGUAAAGCGCACGCAGGCGGUCGCUCAAGUGGGGUGUGAAAGCGGGCCGCUUAACGGCCCGAGGCCAUCUCAGACUGGUCGACUAGAGAGCGGCAGAGGUCGGUGGAAUUGCCGGUGUAGUGGUGAAAUGCGUAGAGAUCGGCAGGAACACCCAGGGGGAAACCAGCCGACUGGGCCGCAACUGACGCUCAGGUGCGAAAGCGUGGGGAGUGAACUGGAUUAGAUACCCAGGUAAUCCACGCCGUAAACGAUGGACGCUCGGCAUCUGGGGCGGUAGUCCCCCGCUCUGGGUGCCUCAGCUAACGCGGUAAGCGUCCCGCCG
Molecule: ribosomal RNA, 508 nt
Filed under: uncultured bacterium
Lineage: Bacteria
Description: bacterial SSU rRNA
Rfam family: Bacterial small subunit ribosomal RNA
Source: RNAcentral